Molecule: small nuclear RNA, 103 nt
Organism: Ornithorhynchus anatinus (platypus)
Lineage: Eukaryota; Metazoa; Chordata; Mammalia; Monotremata; Ornithorhynchidae
Source: RefSeq, a predicted model, not a curated record
AAUACCAACAUUAUUAUAUACUAAAAUUGGAACUCUAUAUAUAAGAUUAACAUGACCCUUACACAUGGAUGACAUGCAAAUUCAUUAAGCAUUCUGUAUGUUU